AUUGAACGCUGGCGGAAUGCUUUACACAUGCAAGUCGAACGGUAGAGGGGGCAACCCCUCGAGAGUGGCGAACGGGUGAGUAAUAUAUCGGAACGUGCCCAGUCGUGGGGGAUAACGUAGCGAAAGUUACGCUAAUACCGCAUACGAUCUAAGGAUGAAAGCGGGGGAUCGCAAGACCUCGCGCGAUUGGAGCGGCCGAUAUCAGAUUAGGUAGUUGGUGGGGUAAAGGCUCACCAAGCCAACGAUCUGUAGCUGGUCUGAGAGGACGACCAGCCACACUGUAACUGAGACACGGUCCAGACUCCUACGGGAGGCAGCAGUGGGGAAUUUUAGACAAUGGACGCAAGUCUGAUCCAGCCAUUCCGCGUGCAGGAUGAAGGCCCUCGGGUUGUAAACUGCUUUUGUACGGAACGAAAAGGUCUCUCUUAAUACGGGGGACUCAUGACGGUACCGUAAGAAUAAGCACCGGCUAACUACGUGCCAGCCGCCGCGGUAA
This 496-nucleotide ribosomal RNA is filed under the name uncultured bacterium. RNAcentral's name for it is "partial 16S ribosomal RNA". It matches the Rfam family "Bacterial small subunit ribosomal RNA", at positions 30 to 523 of the family's 1533-position model. The record is from RNAcentral.